UGUUGGUAUAGUUUUUUGGUGCGAAUAUUUGCACUGACUCUGUUCAUGUCUUUCUAGGGGAGACCAGAAUCAGUGAAACAGUGGAGGAAAAGUUAAAUCAUGUUGUUCUUAUCUAAUUCAGAGCACUGCAUAUGCUGCAUGCCCAUACUUCAACAGCUGGGAGAACUUCUAUGGAUUUGAGACCCUAAUCCAGCAUCCUACCUGAAAAUUAGCCAGCCUGAAUUCUGGGAGCAGUAUAGUCAUGCUAGCAGGUUGCUCUAA
Molecule: long non-coding RNA, 261 nt
Organism: Apteryx rowi (Okarito brown kiwi)
Lineage: Eukaryota; Metazoa; Chordata; Aves; Apterygiformes; Apterygidae
Source: Ensembl